GACGAACGCUGGCGGCGUGCCUAAUACAUGCAAGUAGAACGCACAGUUUAUACCGUAGCUUGCUACACCAUAGACUGUGAGUUGCGAACGGGUGAGUAACGCGUAGGUAACCUGCCUGGUAGCGGGGGAUAACUAUUGGAAACGAUAGCUAAUACCGCAUAAUAUUAAUUAUUGCAUGAUAAUUGAUUAAAAGGUGCAAUUGCACCACUACCAGAUGGACCUGCGUUGUAUUAGCUAGUAGGUGAGGUAACGGCUCACCUAGGCGACGAUACAUAGCCGACCUGAGAGGGUGAUCGGCCACACUGGGACUGAGACACGGCCCAGACUCCUACGGGAGGCAGCAGUAGGGAAUCUUCGGCAAUGGACGAAAGUCUGACCGAGCAACGCCGCGUGAGUGAAGAAGGUUUUCGGAUCGUAAAGCUCUGUUGUAAGAGAAGAACGGGUGUGAGAGUGGAAAGUUCACACU
Molecule: ribosomal RNA, 466 nt
Filed under: uncultured bacterium
Lineage: Bacteria
Description: bacterial SSU rRNA
Rfam family: Bacterial small subunit ribosomal RNA
Source: RNAcentral